GGAGUCCUCCCCUUCGCCACAGAAAGGGUACAGCUGAGACAGCAUCUGCACAAACAGCCUGCCCACAGUCCCUGCCAGCCUGCCUCAGCUCUGACCUUGAGGAGUUGCCUUCAAGUGUGAGAGGGAAACUCC
Molecule: unclassified non-coding RNA, 132 nt
Organism: Lepidothrix coronata (blue-crowned manakin)
Lineage: Eukaryota; Metazoa; Chordata; Aves; Passeriformes; Pipridae
Source: Ensembl